Molecule: long non-coding RNA, 1292 nt
Filed under: Callithrix jacchus (white-tufted-ear marmoset)
Lineage: Eukaryota; Metazoa; Chordata; Mammalia; Primates; Cebidae
Description: lncRNA (ENSCJAG00000074987.1)
Source: RNAcentral
CUUUGGUAGAUUUUUCUCCAUUUCUUUAUUUCUCCUUAUGUGUGUCACUGCAUGUGAGAUGAGUUAGUUUCCUUCCUUCCUUCCUUCCUUCCUUCCUUCCUUCCUUCCUUCCUUCCUUCCUUCCUUCCUUCCUUUUCCUUCCUUCCACUCUUGUUGCCUAGGCUGAAGUGCAAUGGCACAAUCACAGCUCAUCGCAACCUCCGCCUCCCAGGUUGAAGCGAUUCUUCUCAGACUCCCAAGUAGCUGGAAUUAUAGGCAUGCACUACCACACCUGGCUAAUUUUUUGUAUUUUUAGUAGAGACAGGGUUUCUCCAUGUUGAUCAGGCUGGUUUCAACUCCUGACCUCUGGUGUUCUGCCCAUCUUGGCCUCCCAAAGUGUUGGGAUUACAGGCAUUAGCCUCUGUACCCAACCUUCACUGUGUUUUUGUAGUGGCUGGUUACAGUCUUUCCUUUCUAUAUUUAGUGCUUCCUUCAAAAGGUCUUGUAAGGCAUAUCUGGUGGUAAUGAAUUCCUUCAGCAUUUACUUAUUUGAAAAGAAUCUUAUUUCUCCUUUGUUUAUGAAGCUUAGUUUUGCUGGAUAUGAAAUUCUGAGUUGAAAUUUUUUAAGAAUGUUGAAUAUUGGUUCCCAAUCUCUUCUGACUUUUAGAGUUUCUGCUGAAAGGUCAGCUGUUAGUCUGAUGAACUUCCCUUUGUAGGUAACAUGGCCUUUCUCUCCGGCUGCCCUUAGCAUACUUUUUUUCACUUCAGUCUUGGAGAAUCUGAUGAUUAUGUGUCUUAGGAAUGAUCUUCUUCUGGAGUAUCCUACUAGGGUUCUCUACAUUUUCUGAAUUUGAAUGUUGGUCUUUCUAUUUAGGUUGGGGAAGUUCUCAUGGAUGAUAGCCUGAAAUAUGUUUUUCAAAUUGGUUCCAUUCUCCCCAUCUCUUUUGGGUACACCAAUUAGUCAUAGAUCUGGUCUCUUUACACAAUUCCAUAUUUCUCAGUGGUUUUGUUCAUUCCUUUUCACUACUUUUUCUCUAUGUUUAAGUCUUUAAUCCAUCUGGAGUUAAUUUUAGUGUAAGGUGUCAGGAAGGGAUCCAGUUUCUGCUUUCUGCACAUGGCUAGCCAGUUUUCCCAACACCAUUUGUUAAACGUGGAAUCCUUGCCCCAUUAUUUGUUUUUGUCAGGUUUAUCAAAGAUUGUAUAGUUGUAUGUAUGUUGUGUUGCCUCCGGUGCCUCUGUUUUGUUCCAUUGGUCUAUAUCUCUGUUCUGGUACCAGUACCAUGCUGUUUUGAUUACUGUAGCCUUGUAGUAUA